GAGUUUGAUCUUGGCUCAGAUUGAACGCUGGCGGCAUGCCUUACACAUGCAAGUCGAACGGCAGCACGGGAGCUUGCUCCUGGUGGCGAGUGGCGAACGGGUGAGUAAUGCAUCGGAACGUAUCCUGGAGUGGGGGAUAACGUAGCGAAAGUUACGCUAAUACCGCAUAUUCUGUGAGCAGGAAAGCGGGGGACCUUCGGGCCUCGCGCUCUUGGAGCGGCCGAUGUCGGAUUAGCUAGUUGGUGAGGUAAAGGCUCACCAAGGCGACGAUCCGUAGCAGGUCUGAGAGGAUGAUCUGCCACACUGGAACUGAGACACGGUCCAGACUCCUACGGGAGGCAG
RNAcentral lists this ribosomal RNA (342 nucleotides) under bacterium enrichment culture clone ALO1_GLFRUDD03GKG7L. RNAcentral's name for it is "bacterial SSU rRNA". It matches the Rfam family "Bacterial small subunit ribosomal RNA", at positions 9 to 351 of the family's 1533-position model. The record is from RNAcentral.